UAACGUAGCGAAAGUUACGCUAAUACCGCAUACGAUCUAAGGAUGAAAGCGGGGGAUCGCAAGACCUCGCGCGAUUGGAGCGGCCGAUAUCAGAUUAGGUAGUUGGUGAGGUAAAGGCUCACCAAGCCAACGAUCUGUAGCUGGUCUGAGAGGACGACCAGCCACACUGGAACUGAGACACGGUCCAGACUCCUACGGGAGGCAGCAGUGGGGAAUUUUGGACAAUGGACGCAAGUCUGAUCCAGCCAUUCCGCGUGCAGGAUGAAGGCCCUCGGGUUGUAAACUGCUUUGUACGGAACGAAAAGGUUUGUCUUAAUACGAUGAGCUCAUGACGGUACCGUAAGAAUAAGCACCGGCUAACUACGUG
This 367-nucleotide ribosomal RNA is filed under the name uncultured bacterium. RNAcentral's name for it is "bacterial SSU rRNA". It matches the Rfam family "Bacterial small subunit ribosomal RNA", at positions 144 to 507 of the family's 1533-position model. The record is from RNAcentral.